CCGGGGAGCAGUUGGGGGUUAGGUGUCUUGCUCAAGGGCUCUUCAGUCAUGGACUGUCAGCCGAGGAGAUCGAACUGGCAACCUUCCGGUCACAUGGCUUUUUCCCUAAACUCCAGCCCAAGACUGCCCCCUUAGCAGUUGCAUUAAUAGAGCAGAGGAACAUUUAGAAGCUCGGUUCUGACUUUCAGGUGUGAAAACGCCUGGAAACGGUUUCAUCGUCAGGAAUGGGAAAGAAACGGCUCCACCUUCCAGAUGAUCCGGACGCUCUUCACCGACUCCUUUCACCCCUUCUCACCCUGAUGAGCCUGAUUUGCUGCCGCCGACGUUCUCACUGUGGGACUGUUCUGGGGGCAGCAGGAACGCUUAUAGACGAUCGUGAUUUGAGGAGACGCAUUACAGUCAUUAUUUUGCAAACGGUCAAUUGCACAUCAUUAAUCCAUCACAGCACUGAAACAGUGUUCUAUCUCAGAUAUUAAACUAAUAAAUAAAAAAUCAAUCAUCAGAAAAGUAGUCGAUCGGCCAGGACGCGCUCGAGCUUUGCUUGUUUAGUUUUAGUACUGGAGCUACGAGGAGCUACCCCUCCAGUUAGCCCCAAGCUAACACCACAGAGCUUAUUCCCCUCCAGUUAGCCCCCAAGCUAAAACCACAGAGCUUAUUCCCCUCCAGUUAGCCCCCAAGCUAACACCACAGAGCUUAUACCCUUCCAGUUAGCCCCAAGCUAACACCACAGAGCUUAUACCCUUCCAGUUAGCCCCCAAGCUAACACCACAGAGCUUAUACCCCUCCAGUUAGCCCCCAAGCUAACACCACAGAGCUUAUUCCCCUCCAGUUAGCCCCCAAGCUAACACCACAGAGCUUAUACCCCUCUAGUUAGCCCCCAAGCUAACACCACAGAGCUUAUUCCCCUCCAGUUAGCCCCCAAGCUAACACCACAGAGCUUAUACCCCUCCAGUUAGCCCCCAAGCUAAAACCACAGAGCUUAUUCCCCUCCAGUUAGCCCCCAAGCUAAAACCACAGAGCUUAUUCCCCUCCAGUUAGCCCCCAAGCUAACACCACAGAGCUUAUACCCUUCCAGUUAGCCCCAAGCUAACACCACAGAGCUUAUACCCUUCCAGUUAGCCCCCAAGCUAACACCACAGAGCUUAUACCCCUCCAGUUAGCCCCCAAGCUAACACCACAGAGCUUAUUCCCCUCCAGUUAGCCCCCAAGCUAACACCACAGAGCUUAUACCCCUCUAGUUAGCCCCCAAGCUAACACCACAGAGCUUAUUCCCCUCCAGUUAGCCCCCAAGCUAACACCACAGAGCUUAUACCCCUCCAGUUAGCCCCCAAGCUAACACCACAGAGCUUAUACCCCUCCAGUUAGCCCCAAGCUAACACCACAGAGCUUAUACCCCUCCAGGUAGCCCCAAGCUAACACCACAGAGCUUAUACCCCUCCAGUUAGCCCCCAAGCUAACACCACAGAGCUUAUACCACUCCAGUUAGCCCCCAAGCUAACACCACAGAGCGAGCUUAUACCCCUCCAGGUAGCCCCAAGCUAAAACCACAGAGCUUAUUCCCCUCCAGUUAGCCCCCAAGCUAACACCACAGAGCUUAUACCCCUCCAGUUAGCCCCCAAGCUAACACCACAGAGCUUAUACCCCUCCAGUUAGCCCCAAGCUAACACCACAGAGCUUAUACCCCUCCAGGUAGCCCCAAGCUAACACCACAGAGCUUAUACCCCUCCAGUUAGCCCCAAGCUAACACCACAGAGCUUAUAUCCCUCCAGUUAGCCCCCAAGCUAACACCACAGAGCUUAUACCCCGCCAGUUAGCCCCAAGCUAACACCACAGAGCUUAUACCCCUCCAGUUAGCCCCCAAGCUAACACCACAGAGCUUAUACCCCUCCAGUUAGCCCCAAGCUAACACCACAGAGCUUAUACCCCUCCAGUUAGCCCCAAGCUAACACCACAGAGCUUAUACCCCUCCAGUUAGCCCCUAAGCUAACACCACAGAGCUUAUACCCCGCCAGUUAGCCCCAAGCUAACACCACAGAGCUUAUACCCCUCCAGUUAGCCCCCAAGCUAACACCACAGAGCUUAUACCCCUCCAGGUAGCCCCAAGCUAACACCACAGAGCUUAUACCCCUCCAGUUAGCCCCAAGCUAACACCACAAAGCUUAUAUCCCUCCAGUUAGCCCCCAAGCUAACACCACAGAGCUUAUACCCCGCCAGUUAGCCCCAAGCUAACACCACAGAGCUUAUACCCCUCCAGUUAGCCCCCAAGCUAACACCACAGAGCUUAUACCCCUCCAGUUAGCCCCAAGCUAACACCACAGAGCUUAUACCCCUCCAGUUAGCCCCAAGCUAACACCACAGAGCUUAUACCCCUCCAGGUAGCCCCAAGCUAACACCACAGAGCUUAUACCCCUCCAGUUAGCCCCAAGCUAACACCACAGAGCUUAUAUCCCUCCAGUUAGCCCCCAAGCUAACACCACAGAGCUUAUACCCCGCCAGUUAGCCCCAAGCUAACACCACAGAGCUUAUACCCCUCCAGUUAGCCCCCAAGCUAACACCACAGAGCUUAUACCCCUCCAGUUAGCCCCAAGCUAACACCACAGAGCUUAUACCCCUCCAGUUAGCCCCAAGCUAACACCACAGAGCUUAUACCCCUCCAGGUAGCCCCAAGCUAACACCACAGAGCUUAUACCCCUCCAGUUAGCCCCAAGCUAACACCACAAAGCUUAUAUCCCUCCAGUUAGCCCCCAAGCUAACACCACAGAGCUUAUACCCCGCCAGUUAGCCCCAAGCUAACACCACAGAGCUUAUACCCCUCCAGUUAGCCCCCAAGCUAACACCACAGAGCUUAUACCCCUCCAGUUAGCCCCAAGCUAACACUACAGAGCUUAUACCCCUCCAGUUAGCCCCAAGCUAACACCACAGAGCUUAUACCCCUCCAGUUAGCCCCCAAGCUAACACCACAGAGCUUAUUCCCCUAUUCCCCUCCAGUUAGCCCCCAAGUUAACACCACAGAGCUUAUACCACUCCAGUUAGCCCCCAAGCUAACACCACAGAGCUUAUACCCCUCCAGUUAGCCCCAAGCUAACACCACAGAGCUUAUUGCCCUCCAGUUAGCCCCAAGCUAACACCACAGAGCUUAUACCCCUCCAGUUAGCCCCAAGCUAACACCACAGAGCUUAUACCCCUCCAGUUAGCCCCAAGCUAACACCACAGAGCUUAUACCCCCUCCAGUUAGCCCCAAGCUAACACCACAGAGCUUAUAUCCCUCUAGUUAGCCCCCAAGCUAACACCACAGAGCUUAUACCCCUCCAGUUAGCCCCAAGCUAACACCACAGAGCUUAUUGCCCUCCAGUUAGCCCUAAGCUAACACCACAGAGCUUAUUCCCCUCCAGUUAGCCCCAAGCUAACACCACAGAGCGAGCUUAUACCCCUCCAGUUAGCCCCAAGCUAACACCACAGAGCUUAUACCCCUCCAGUUAGCCCCAAGCUAAAACCACAGAGCUUAUUCCCCCUCCAGUUAGCCCCAAGCUAACACCACAGAGCUUAUACCCCUCUAGUUAGCCCCAAGCUAACACCACAGAGCUUAUACCCCCUCCAGUUAGCCCCAAGCUAACACUACAGAGCUUAUAUCCCUCUAGUUAGCCCCCAAGCUAACACCACAGAGCUUAUACCCCUCCAGUUAGCCCCAAGCUAACACCACAGAGCUUAUUGCCCUCCAGUUAGCCCUAAGCUAACACCACAGAGCUUAUACCCCUCCAGUUAGCCCCAAGCUAACACCACAGAGCGAGCUUAUACCCCUCCAGGUAGCCCCAAGCUAACACCACAGAGCUUAUACCCCUCCAGUUAGCCCCAAGCUAACACCACAGAGCUUAUUCCUCUCCAGUUAGCCCCAAGCUAACACCACAGAGCUUAUUCCCCCUCCAGUUAGCCCCAAGCUAAAACCACAGAGCUUAUACCCCUCCAGUUAGCCCCAAGCUAACACCACAGAGCGAGCUUAUACCCCUCCAGUUAGCCCCAAGCUAACACCACAGAGCUUAUACCCCUCCAGUUAGCCCCAAGCUAACACUACAGAGCUUAUAUCCCUCCAGUUAGCCCCAAGCUAACACUACAGAGCUUAUACCCCUCCAGUUAGCCCCAAGCUAACACCACAGAGCUUAUUCCCCCUCCAGUUAGCCCCCAAGCUAACACCACAGAGCUUAUACCCCUCCAGUUAGCCCCAAGCUAACACCACAGAGCUUAUACCCCUCCAGUUAGCCCCAAGCUAACACCACAGAGCUUAUACCCCUCCAGUUAGCCCCAAGCUAACACCACAGAGCUUAUUCCCCCUCCAGUUAGCCCCAAGCUAACACCACAGAGCUUAUACCCCUCCAGUCAGCUGAGCCCCGUAGCUCCAGUGCUAAAGCUCCAGGCAGGGCCCAGCGCUGGCUGAGGGCUGAGCGUGGGGUCAGGCUGGGGGAGCUGGGUUCGUGUGUUUUUAAUGGAGAGUGAUUGCUUUAAAUGAUGUUUUGAGCGUUUCUAUCAGUUCCAUGCUCAGCAUAUGAUACUGUGACUGCGUCGUCCGACACCGGAGAGGCGUUAAGACGGCAGGUUCCUCUGCGGGGGGACGCCGGCGUGGACGACCCUCCCUGUGACUCCUGUGUUGACCAGCAUGCCUUUGUGUUUCUGCUCAGCUCUGAGCGCUUCAUUCUGUACAGUUUGUUUGUCUAAAGUAUUUCUCUUUAGAGAUCCUCUUUAUUUUUAUCGUCCGAAGAUUAAAUAUUUGGUUUGGAUUGCGUUAAGAAAUAUAUUUAUGGCGCCCAAACGUC
This is a long non-coding RNA of Pygocentrus nattereri (red-bellied piranha), 4805 nucleotides long. RefSeq lists it as uncharacterized. Lineage: Eukaryota; Metazoa; Chordata; Actinopteri; Characiformes; Serrasalmidae. The transcript is spliced from 2 exons. The record is from RefSeq and is a predicted model, not a curated record.